UCCAGACUCCUACGGGAGGCAGCAGUGGGGGAUAUUGCACAAUGGGGGGAACCCUGAUGCAGCGACGCCGCGUGGGUGAAGGAGCGUUUCGGCGCGUAAAGCCCUGUCAGCAGGGAAGAACAAAGACAGUACCUGACCAAGAAGCCCCGGCUAACUACGUGCCAGCAGCCGCGGUAAUACGUAGGGGGCAAGCGUUAUCCGGAUUCACUGGGCGUAAAGGGAGCGCAGGCGGCACGGCAAGUCUGGUGUGAAAGCCCGGGGCCCAACCCCGGGACUGCAUUGGAAACUGCCGGGCUGGAGUGCCGGAGAGGCAGGCGGAAUCCCUAGUGUAGCGGCGAAAUGCGUAGAUAUUAGGAGGAACACCGGUGGCGAAGGCGGCCUGCUGGACGAUGACUGACGCUGAGGCUCGAAAGCGUGGGGAGCAAACAGGAUUAGAUACCCGUGUA
Molecule: ribosomal RNA, 446 nt
Filed under: uncultured bacterium
Lineage: Bacteria
Description: partial 16S ribosomal RNA
Rfam family: Bacterial small subunit ribosomal RNA
Source: RNAcentral